RNAcentral lists this ribosomal RNA (492 nucleotides) under uncultured bacterium. RNAcentral's name for it is "partial 16S ribosomal RNA". It matches the Rfam family "Bacterial small subunit ribosomal RNA", at positions 29 to 507 of the family's 1533-position model. The record is from RNAcentral.
AGUGAACGCUGGCGGUAGGCCUAACACAUGCAAGUCGAACGGCAGCACAGUAAGAGCUUGCUCUUACGGGUGGCGAGUGGCGGACGGGUGAGGAAUACAUCGGAAUCUACUUUUUCGUGGGGGAUAACGUAGGGAAACUUACGCUAAUACCGCAUACGACCUACGGGUGUAAACAGGGGAUCUUCGGACCUUGCGCGAUUGAAUGAGCCGAUGUCGGAUUAGCUAGUUGGCGGGGUAAAGGCCCACCAAGGUGACGAUCCGUAGCUGGUCUGAGAGGAUGAUCAGCCACCCUGGAAAUGAGACGCGGUCCAGACUCCUACGGGAGGCAGGAGUGGGGAAUAUUGGACAAUGGGCGCAAGCCUGAUCCAGCCAUACCGCGUGGGUGAAGAAGGCCUUCGGGUUGUAAAGCCCUUUUGUUGGGAAAGAAAAGCAGCAGGUUAAUACCCCGCUGUUCUGACGGUACCCAAAGAAUAAGCACCGGCUAACUUCGUG